RNAcentral lists this ribosomal RNA (85 nucleotides) under Streptomyces sp. SID10116. Its description in RNAcentral is "partial 16S ribosomal RNA". It matches the Rfam family "Bacterial small subunit ribosomal RNA", at positions 1 to 84 of the family's 1533-position model. Lineage: Bacteria; Bacillati; Actinomycetota; Actinomycetes; Kitasatosporales; Streptomycetaceae. The record is from RNAcentral.
CAUUCACGGAGAGUUUGAUCCUGGCUCAGGACGAACGCUGGCGGCGUGCUUAACACAUGCAAGUCGAACGAUGAACCACUUCGGU